Acinonyx jubatus (cheetah) is the source of this 2722-nucleotide long non-coding RNA. RefSeq lists it as uncharacterized. The transcript has 4 exons. The record is from RefSeq and is a predicted model, not a curated record. Lineage: Eukaryota; Metazoa; Chordata; Mammalia; Carnivora; Felidae.
GAAGUUGCAGGGGGAGGGUGACCGGGUGCGUCCCCAGCCCGGAAUCCGCCGUAGGAGGGCUUAGGGUGACGCGAGUUGACGGACACUUGAUCUGGGCCCACGAGUUACUCUACUUACUGAUAUUUGGGGCUCCAGAUGGGCCACGUUUCCCAGGAUGACGGCCAAGUACAUUCAGUGACUCGUGUGGUCACUACAGUUUGAGGACAACAUGUGCGAGAAGACCUUCCCUGGCCCCUGCCCCGGACUUCUUAAUUCGGGCGUGCCCAGCUGCCAGCUUGUUUUGUUUCUUGAAUUUCCUGGGAGCAUCUUUCACAAAUUCUCUCGUUGUUUGUUUACCUGGGAAGGUCUUUCUUUUCCCUCACCUUUGAAGAACCACAAGGGCAUCUUCUUCAGACCUUCCUGAGGAGAUCUCAGGGCUCCUGGAAAGAAAGCCCCCCCUCCCCUGGCUCCCAGAAGCCCAGCGAGGCACCGCCCACCAGUUCCUGCCAGUUUACGGCUCCAGCAGCUUCUCCAGGCAGACCCACCUUGCCCACCCUGGCCUCCCAGACCGGCUGUCCCUCAAGGUUUCAGGGUGCUGGCUCGCCCUGCAUGCUGGGCUCUCGGGUGAGUCUGAGAGAAGCAGUUGUUUUCAAGUUGUCCCAUUUUUUCUUGUUGUAAGGGCAGGAAUGGAGUCUGCCACACUCUUUAAAUGUCAGUGCUAAGUCUGGAGUCCCCGCCACCGGGGGAGGGGCGGUGCUCUGCCACCCCAGAUCCGCUACUAAAUAUUCGUGUAGAACUAAUAAAUAUUAAUGUCAGGACAUAGAAUAACGCUUUCUUUCACCAGGAAAGAAAGAGAUUGCACGUGUUGCGACUCAUCACUCUUAAAAGUAUCUCUGGUUAGUGUCUGAUUCUGAGACCCAUGUGGGAGGUGAGGCCAGCCUCCUUCGAUGCCUCCCACCUCAGCCCGUGGGACAGACUGGCCACAGGCCCCCCGAGGGGCAGUCCUUGGAGCCGAUCGCCGGCUGUAGAUCCAGCCUCCAGCCCGUGGGGCUCAUUCCUGGCCCCAGAGCAGGCGCCGGCUUCCUGCGUCCUGAGGGAGGUGACCCCGUGGGCCAAGUGCUGCCCAGCCAGCAGCUGGGCCAAGGGCACCCUCAACAGUUGCUGGAAAACGGCUCUGGUUUCUGACCGCCACCGGUGUCCAGAAAGGCAGCAGCCAGGGUCCCCACUGUGGCCUUGACUCCCCGGGGUCUCCGUGGGGCGUUCAGAGCGGCCAGCCUGGGCAGGACUCCUCCACCCCCGCCCCGGACACGCCUGUGAACAACAGUUUCUGGAAAAUUCUGGCUGCAUUCAGACCCUGACUACCUGAGGGGGUCACCCCCACAUCAGUUCUGGGGGUGUCUUUCUUGUUGAAAUGAGAUCGCUUUACACACAGAGAGACUCGCAUUUUCAGGGAACGCCUGACCCCAGCCUGCGUGACCGCAACCAAGGCUUCCAGGCAGGAGGUCGAGCAAACAAAGUUUAGAUGCCACUGAAAAUGUCGCCACGCUCUGUUUUCUAGAAACAUGGCUCCAAGACAGCCACGGGGCAUCCAUGUAUGCGUGUGAACUUACAGAAAAAUGGUUGAUUUCCUCUUAAAUACUUAACAAACGUGUCAUGAUAUACGUGGAAGUAACUGAGUGGUCUCAAGGGUGCAACCAAGUUUCUAAGAUGUUCUAUUAUCGAAGUUAAUAUUCUGAAAAUCAAGUCUCUUGUUUUAGAAAAAUGGAAGUAAAUAAUCAACAAAAGCAAAACAUGCCCCUAACGGGUGCGGCUGACAGUGUGUGAAACUCGUGCUCAGGAAGAUCUCGUUUGCCCAGCGCUCUGCCCACGGCAGCUGAGCCUUGAGCAGGGAGAAGCGGGCACGUGGGGCAGGGUCCCCGCGUGGGGGCUUGUGGAGUCCGUCAGCGUGGGGAGUAAACCGGGCUGGGAGCAGCCCAGGAACUCAGCGUGGGGACCGUCCCCUCGGGAGCCGGAAGCCGGGUCAGUGUCCCCUCCGGGCUUUGUCCUGCGUCUUCUCUCCCGACCCCGCACCUGCCCUCGCCACCACCUGAUGUCUGCUAAGCCUGGACUGGCAUCUGCCUCUCUCCAAGGAUGCCGUUCCGUGAAUUGAGUUUCUGGGGCCACCGGUGCAGGCAGCGUCCCAGUAAGCGAUGAUGGCUCAGCCCUGGGUGUCGGGACGGGGGGGGGCGUGAGGGGCCCAGGGCUGACAAAAUCCUGCGUGCUCUCCUCUGGUUGCGGGAAACUAACUCUCGAUGUCUGUGCCUUGCUUUCUUCUAAACUUAGAAUUACUGUUGAUGAACUCACUGUAAAUAAACCUUGGCAAUGUGUGCAAUAAUUAGUGAAAAAUAAAUGUGUACUUAGGUAUUAAUAAAAUAAAUAUUUAGCAGGUUAUUUGGGAUCUUUGCUGUAUCCUCAAAUGCUUAAUAAAUAAUGAGAGGUUUAUUAAAACUUGCGACUAUGACUCAGUGGAAGGAUUUUCACAAUGCAACUUGCUUCCUAAAAUCAGAGAAGACAGGAUUUGUUUUCUGUCAAGGGGUGGGCCAAACAGCGGAAUGGAAAGUGGGGGCAGACGUCCUUGACACAGUCUGGGGCAGAAUGACAAAGCCGCUCGGACCUCACUUCCAGGCCAGUCUUGCUGCCUGCUAUCUGAAGGCUUUCUAGCUCUUACUAGCUGAGGAUUCAGAACAGGGAACUACGGCCCCGU